UACUCCUCCCUCAUAUCAUAUACGCACACAAACAUCAGCCCCUCCCACAACUCCCAUCUCAGACGCCGCUCCUCCUCCUCCUCCAACCAUUUUUCCGGUGACCUCCCUCUUCUCUUUCGACCAGAUGGAAACUAAUGAUGGUCGACAACAAUGGACGGAUGAGGCUGUUAAAUGCUUAUUAGAAACAUGUCUUGAAGAAAUAGGGAGGAUAGGUAGAAAUGGACAAAGCUUGUGCAGGGAGUCUUGGGUUAUAGUAGGGAAGAAACUCAAGGAACAAUUUCACAUGGAUUUGACUCAAAAGCAAAUUAGAAAUGCUUUUGAUAUUAUGAAAUCAAAAUAUGUAGGAUGGUGCUAUUUGAGAAACAAGACUGGAAAUCUAUACAACCCAGAAACAAAUAUGUUCACUUUAACGCCUCAAGAAUGGGAAGAUUUUAAGAAGGUGUCUAUUUGUUUAGGUUUCCAGUAUUAUGUCACAUGUUAAAGUGAAAACUAUUUAUUAUAGUCCCUAUUAAUUUGGCAAAUUGAAGCUGUUUUUGAUA
This is a long non-coding RNA of Helianthus annuus (common sunflower), 539 nucleotides long. RefSeq lists it as uncharacterized. The transcript is spliced from 2 exons. NCBI's taxonomy places the organism in Eukaryota, Viridiplantae, Streptophyta, Magnoliopsida, Asterales, Asteraceae. The record is from RefSeq and is a predicted model, not a curated record.